UACGGAGGGGGCGAGCGUUAUUCGGAAUUAUUGGGCGUAAAGGGCGCGUAGGCGGCUGUACAAGUCCAAGGUGAAAUCCCUCGGCUCAACUGAGGAACUGCCUUUGAAACUGUACGGCUUGAGGCCGGGAGGGGGUAGCGGAAUUCCCAGUGUAGCGGUGAAAUGCGUAGAUACUGGGAGGAACACCAGUGGCGAAGGCGGCUACCUGGACCGGUUCUGACGCUGAGGCGCGAAAGCGUGGGUAGCAAACAGG
This 253-nucleotide ribosomal RNA is filed under the name uncultured bacterium. Its description in RNAcentral is "partial 16S ribosomal RNA". It matches the Rfam family "Bacterial small subunit ribosomal RNA", at positions 524 to 776 of the family's 1533-position model. The record is from RNAcentral.